Long non-coding RNA from Fundulus heteroclitus (mummichog), 248 nucleotides. RefSeq lists it as uncharacterized. Lineage: Eukaryota; Metazoa; Chordata; Actinopteri; Cyprinodontiformes; Fundulidae. The transcript is spliced from 2 exons. The record is from RefSeq and is a predicted model, not a curated record.
GCGGUGCAUAAAUGUUCCAAAAGGGGGUGCUGUUUUCUGCAAUUCCUGGCACUACCGCAAUUCUAACAUGUUUGUCCUGCUGGGGACACCGUAGUGCAGGGGAUUUUUUGUGCGCGAACGCUGUAUUCCUUACAGUGUGUUUACUGCCUGUAAGGUGGACGAAAUAAACGCGCCAAGGUCUCCCCACAACUAAGAGCCCUGUGUCCAGUUCCUCUUCUGCACGGAACACAUCCCACCUUCACCCAAAA